This 87-nucleotide transfer RNA is filed under the name Roseivirga misakiensis. Its description in RNAcentral is "tRNA-Tyr(gta)". It matches the Rfam family "tRNA". Rfam says of the family: Transfer RNA (tRNA) molecules are approximately 80 nucleotides in length. Their secondary structure includes four short double-helical elements and three loops (D, anti-codon, and T loops). The record is from RNAcentral. Lineage: Bacteria; Pseudomonadati; Bacteroidota; Cytophagia; Cytophagales; Roseivirgaceae.
GGGUAAGUAUGCAAAUGGCUGAAGCAAGCGGUCUGUAAAACCGUGACUUAAGAAACGAUGCUGGUUCGAGUCCAGCCUUGCCCACCA